Molecule: unclassified non-coding RNA, 1055 nt
Filed under: Hevea brasiliensis (rubber tree)
Lineage: Eukaryota; Viridiplantae; Streptophyta; Magnoliopsida; Malpighiales; Euphorbiaceae
Source: RNAcentral
GCUAAGUUUUGCAGAAUGAGUAAUUUUUAUUUACACUCGAAUGUAAAUAUUCAAGGAGAAUUUUAUUUUUUAUUAAAAAUAUUUUAAAAUUAUCUAUUUAUGAAUAUAUUAAAUUGGUGUGACUUCCCUAAGCUUGUAGGAAACAUUGGAGCAUUUGGAUCCGGAAUGAUAUGGAAUGGAUCACAUAUGACGGACCCGUGUACAUCUGUGGUUGGCGAUUUAGUAUCUGUCAGCAAUAUCCAAGAACAUGUGGCACAGCUCAAUGGGUUUAGAGAGCAUGACCAUGUGGUCGGCUCCGGCUAUGAACUUCACAUCUUUGGUUGGCAUAAUUUCAAGGAACCAUUCCUGGAGAUCUUUCUUCAAUAGCCUGUCAGAUUCGCAGACGAUAAAAACCCGAUUUACUGACCCGAAUUUAUCUUCUGUUAAUAGUGAUUCCUUGGACAACUCUUUCAAUAACAGCCGACUUGGCUUUAUCAACAUCUUUGCCAAUUCCAUAUCCUCCGGUUGACAAUGCUGAUAGAGAUUGGCUGCCAUGUAAUUUGGCCCAAACAAAGCUGAAGUAGGUAACUUUUCUGGGCCAUCAUCAAAAAAGAACUGGAAAUCCAAGAGGGACUCCAUUGGAGUCCUCUUAAAGAACUCCAGAACAAGAGUUGCAGGUGGGAAUGCACAAUUUGGCAUAAAGGCAGUGACAAAAACAGCCACCAAGAUCUUGUUAGGAAAACUUUCCAUGGCUAGAGAAAUAGCCAUGCCUCCAUAGCUGUGACCCACUAAGAUCACCUUCUCUUCUUCAGGGAGGGAGGCCAGGAAAUCCAUGAGGGGCUGCAAAUAGUCCGAUAUGGAAAUGGAAGAAAUCUGAUGAUUGAGCUGCUUGGAGUUGGAGUUAGAGUUGACUCCACAACCACCAAGGUCUAGAGCAGUGACACGGUGACCAGCUGCUUUAAGCAGUGCAAGAAUCUUAUACCAGCACCAAGCUCCAUGGCAAAUCCCAUGAACUAGAACAAAGUGCUUUGAGUUCUGCAUAUUUGCUCUUAAAAAAUUGAAAUUAAUUAUGGUUU